GUUUGAUCCUGGCUCAGAAUCAACGCUGGCGGCGUGCCUAACACAUGCAAGUCGAACGAGAAAGUGGAGCAAUCCAUGAGUAAAGUGGCGACCGGGUGAGUAACACGUGACUAACCUACCCUCGAGUGUGGAAUAACAUCGGGAAACCGAUGCUAAUACCGCAUAACAUCGCAAGAUCAAAGGAGCAAUCCGCUUGAGGAGGGGGUCGCGGCUGAUUAGCUAGUUGGCGGGGUAACGGCCCACCAAGGCGAAGAUCGGUAGCCGGCCUGAGAGGGCGCACGGCCACACUGGAACUGAAACACGGUCCAGACUCCUACGGGAGGCAGCAGUGGGGAAUUUUGCGCAAUGGGGGAAACCCUGACGCAGCAACGCCGCGUGGAGGAUGAAGCCCCUUGGGGCGUAAA
This 404-nucleotide ribosomal RNA is filed under the name uncultured bacterium. RNAcentral describes it as "bacterial SSU rRNA". It matches the Rfam family "Bacterial small subunit ribosomal RNA", at positions 11 to 429 of the family's 1533-position model. The record is from RNAcentral.